AACGCACAUUGCGCCCCUUGGUAUUCCAUGGGGCAUGCCUGUUCGAGCGUCAUGUACACCCUCAAGCUUUGCUUGGUGUUGGGCGUCUGUCCUCCGGGACUCGCCUCAAAGGUAUUGGCAGCGGUCCUGUCGGGCCUCCUAAUCGCGCAGCACUGUUCGCGCCUCUUGGAGCCUGUACGGGAAUUCAGCUACUCCAUCAAGCCCUUCCAUCUUCAGCUUGACCUCGAAUCAGGUAGGGAUACCCGCUGAACUUAA
This 255-nucleotide unclassified non-coding RNA is filed under the name uncultured Pleosporales. RNAcentral describes it as "sequence contains 5.8S rRNA gene, ITS2, 28S rRNA gene". Lineage: Eukaryota; Fungi; Ascomycota; Dothideomycetes; Pleosporales. The record is from RNAcentral.